Molecule: unclassified non-coding RNA, 254 nt
Filed under: uncultured bacterium
Lineage: Bacteria
Description: contains 16S-23S intergenic spacer region
Rfam family: Bacterial small subunit ribosomal RNA
Source: RNAcentral
GACGGAGGGCGCGGGUGUUAUUCGUUGUGAUUGGGUGUAAAGGGUAUGUAGGCAGCUCCCGGUGUCUCGGCCUAAAACGCAGAGUAUUCCUAUGCGACGGCCUUUUCAAAAAGAGAGCUUGAGUUGAAGAUAGGUAGGGGGAAUUUCGCAAGCCAGGGGUAAAAUCCACACAUAUGCGAACGACCGCUAGCAGGCGCAGGCGCCUUUCCAGAUUCAACUGACGCUAAGGUACGGAAGCUUAGGGAGCAAACGGG